Gadus morhua (Atlantic cod) is the source of this 554-nucleotide long non-coding RNA. RefSeq lists it as uncharacterized. The record is from RefSeq and is a predicted model, not a curated record. NCBI's taxonomy places the organism in Eukaryota, Metazoa, Chordata, Actinopteri, Gadiformes, Gadidae. The transcript has 2 exons.
ACAUGUCUUCGCUUCCCUCCAUUAUUCGAUCCCCCAUCCGCGUUUUGUUUUCAGACUGAAUUCCGUUCCUCUUGCAUGGGCGCAGUGAAAACCCCCCAGCAGGCGCGGCGCUCAUUAGCAUACACGACCCUGGUUGGCUGGUCAACGCGCCGCUUUCCGCAUGAGCGCGGCGGAUGAAUUGACUCGACGGAUGGGCUUCGAGGGGGCAGUGCGGAGCCCGUUGUGAAUAGUUCAAUGUAUUCUGCUUCUGGCCACACAAAGCUCAGGAGAGUGGAGAUGGAGAGGGAUCCUGGAUGUGCAAGGCGGCUCCAUGUUUACCCCAAACUACUGUUUACUGCUGGGGGUUUUGGUUCUGAAAUAAACGUUGGCCGCAUGUAACAAAAACAUAAUCCCAGUCUAUUCAACGCAGAUAUGGAUGUCUGGUAGAUAGUCAUAGCAUUUUCCAGGCCAAUUAUUCUAUUAAUAAAUAUAAAUGGUGAACAAAAAAACAUACCAUCAAGCUGCAAACUGAAGAUUAAAUUCCAACACAAAUAAUAAAAAUCAGCCGUCCUAUA